GAAGCUCGCCAGGCACUGCCAGCCGCUCCCAAACACCCCCAAAUGAAGUUCCCUUCCGUGGGGGAGGACCCUCCCCUGGUUCCUAUGGAAACAGAGUGGGGAAAGUGAAGCUCAGAGGUGUGAAGUGACUUCUCCAGCAACACACAGGUGGCUGUUUCCUCUCCCGUCUGAACAGAGCAUGACCCCAGAGCGCCGAGCGGUGCCAUGAUGGAGGAGAGGCCCUGGAUGAAGACAGUCUCAACCCGUCUGGCCGCCAGCCCCCUGCAAGCUCCGGGCAGACCCUCCUCUCACCCCCGUGGGCUUGUUCUUUCCCAUUGUCCAGUGUUGUCUCCCACCCUUCCUGCUCCGAGCACCUCAGUUAUGUGGUGUCACCUCCCUUCUGUAUGGGCCACCCCCACUCUCUCCUCUGUCCAGGCUGACCUUCAGCCUUCGUGCAGCUUCAGGCCUGCAGCCAGGGCUCACCACACCCUGAAGGCCAGCAGCUCACACCUGCUCUCCAGUUUGUAAGUACCAACUGCCCUGGCAAUAUCUUGGCUGCGUCUUUCCUGUCCUCAGAACAAUGAAGACUUUGGGAACCUGUCACUUUUGUUCCCCAGCUGUCCAUGGUCUCAGGAGAGUGGGGAUUUGGAGGCACAGAGAGGGCGCAUGACCUGUCCAGGCUAUUCAGGAAGAAGGCUGGCAGAGCCCGCUGCAACUGGCUUGUGAGCUCAGGGUCUCCAUGAGGCUCCUGUUGAGCCUGGCUUCCUGGGAUUGGCUGGAAGCACAGAUGAGCCUUCCUGGGCAAAGGCCCCAUUCAAGGCCUUUCUCUAAGCAAUCAGCCUGGAGCACAGGAGACUCCACGCAAGCUCCCUGCCUGGUCUACAGAUGGUGGGUUCUUCCCGUAGACACCAGUGGAGUGUGGCUGCGCCUCUGUGGCUGCUUGGUGUUUAGUCUUACAGUCAGAAAUGCUGCAAUAUCAGCACCAGAAAGCACCUUUGCCUGGCAAUUCCACUGCCAUUGAGCCUAAGGAUGGAUGUAGACAAGAAGUAAAGAUGCUUCUCCGAGCAUGUUCAUGACAGGACUGUUCAUAUUUGAGCAAAAUCAGAAAUCGGUGCUCCAACAAUAGGAGGCUGGUUAUGCCCAGGUAUAUACACGCAAGGAAAUACUGUGCGGCUGA
Long non-coding RNA from Hipposideros armiger (great roundleaf bat), 1156 nucleotides. RefSeq lists it as uncharacterized. The record is from RefSeq and is a predicted model, not a curated record. The transcript has 3 exons. NCBI's taxonomy places the organism in Eukaryota, Metazoa, Chordata, Mammalia, Chiroptera, Hipposideridae.